GCCCGGUUAGCUCAAUCGGUAGAGCGUGAGACUCUUAAUCUCAAGGUUGCGGGUAAGUUUUCUGUUGAAAAAAAUUUAGUGAAAUACCUAGUGGCUAACCCUAGCAGGUUCGACCCCCGCAUUGGGCU
Hypoxylon argillaceum is the source of this 128-nucleotide non-coding RNA. The record is from the annotation of a GenBank genome assembly. NCBI's taxonomy places the organism in Eukaryota, Fungi, Ascomycota, Sordariomycetes, Xylariales, Hypoxylaceae.